GGUUCUGUAGCUCAGAGGUUAGAGCAGGGGAUUCAUAAGCCCAAGGUCGCAGGUUCAAUUCCAGCCCGAACCA
Molecule: transfer RNA, 73 nt
Filed under: Karlodinium veneficum
Lineage: Eukaryota; Dinophyceae; Gymnodiniales; Kareniaceae
Description: tRNA-Met
Rfam family: tRNA
About the family: Transfer RNA (tRNA) molecules are approximately 80 nucleotides in length. Their secondary structure includes four short double-helical elements and three loops (D, anti-codon, and T loops).
Source: RNAcentral